RNAcentral lists this transfer RNA (77 nucleotides) under Candidatus Omnitrophota bacterium. RNAcentral's name for it is "Candidatus Omnitrophica bacterium (groundwater metagenome) tRNA-Val". It matches the Rfam family "tRNA". From Rfam's summary of the family: Transfer RNA (tRNA) molecules are approximately 80 nucleotides in length. The record is from RNAcentral. Lineage: Bacteria; Pseudomonadati; Candidatus Omnitrophota.
GGGCAGCUAGCUCAGUUGGCUAGAGCGCUUCCUUGACAUGGAAGAGGUCACAGGUUCAAGUCCUGUGCUGCCCACCA